RNAcentral lists this ribosomal RNA (1903 nucleotides) under human oral metagenome. Its description in RNAcentral is "bacterial LSU rRNA". It matches the Rfam family "Bacterial large subunit ribosomal RNA", at positions 1 to 1988 of the family's 2925-position model. The record is from RNAcentral.
AAAAGUAAGUAAGGGCAGACGGUGGAUGCCUAGGCUCUCGGAGGCGAAGAAGGACGUGAUAAGCUGCGAAAAGCUGCGGGAAUCGGCACAUACGAAUUGAUCCGCAGAUAUCCGAAUGGGGCAACCCGUCAGGCCAAGGCCUGACACAUGAAUUGAUUUCAUGAGCGAACGCGGGGAACUGAAACAUCUCAUUACCCGUAGGAGAAGAAAACAAAAGUGAUUCCCUCAGUAGUGGCGAGCGAACGGGGAUUAGCCCAAACCGGCUUUGUUUCGGCAAAGUCGGGGUAAUAGGACUUCGACAAAAGUUUAAUGAUAGAUAUAGGAGAACCUACUGGAAAGUAUGGCCGAAGAGCAUGAAAGCUGCGUAUCCGACAUAUCGAACAAUAGACGACGGAGCACCUGAGUAGCGCGGGACACGAGACAUCCUGUGUGAAUUGGCGGGGCCCAUCCCGUAAGGCUAAAUACUCCCGAGAGACCGAUAGUGAACCAGUACCGUGAGGGAAAGGUGAAAAGAACCUCGAACAGAGGAGUGCAAUAGACCCUGAACCCGUCUGCCUACAAGCGGUAGGAGCGCCAUUAAGGUGUGACUGCGUGCCUUUUGCAUAAUGAACCUACGAGUUACUGUUUGUGGCAAGGUUAAUUGUUAUAAUCAAGACAAGGAGCCGAAGCGAAAGCGAGUCUUAAAAGGGCGCCCAUUUAGUCACGAGCAGUAGACGCGAAACCAAGUGAUCUACCCUUGGUCAGGUUGAAGGUUAGGUAACACUAACUGGAGGACCGAAUCGGUAAGCGUUGAAAAGCUUUCGAAUGAACUGAGGGUAGGGGUGAAAGGCUAAUCAAACUUGGAGAUAGCUCGUACUCCCCGAAAUGCAUUUAGGUGCAGCCUGUCGGAUGUUAUCAUGAGGUAGAGCGACUGAUUGGAUGCGAGGGUUUCACCGCCUAUCAAGUCCAGAUAAACUCCGAAUGCAUGAUAAUUGACCGAUGGAGUGAGGGCAUGGGUGCUAAGGUCCAUGUCCGAGAGGAGAAGAAUCCGGACCACCGGCUAAGGUCCCGAAAUAAUUGCUAAGUUGUAAAAACGAAGUCAAGAUGCAGAGACAGCUAGGAUGUUGGCUUGGAAGCAGCCAUUCAUUUAAAGAGUGCGUAACAGCUCACUAGUCGAGCGGUUCGGCAUGGAUAAUAAUCGGGCAUAAGCAUAUUACCGAAGCUAUGGAUUUGUACGUAAGUACAACUGGUAGGAGAGCAUUCUAUCGGCAUAGAAGCUGAGUCGUGAGGCUUGGUGGAGCUUAUAGAAAAGAAAAUGUAGGCAUAAGUAACGAUAAAGCGGGCGAGAAACCCGCUCACCGAAAGACUAAGGUUUCCUCAGCCAUGCUAAUCAGCUGAGGGUUAGUCGGGGCCUAACGCGAACCCGAGAGGGGUAGUGGAUGGACAUAGGGUUAAUAUUCCCUAACUUGCUCACGAGGAAAGUGACGGUUCAAUGAGACUUAAGAAGACUGACGGAAUAGUUAAGACCUAGCCUACGGGCGAAGUUGAUUAAGAGCAGUUGGAUCCAAGAAAAGCGAGUGAAGCAACCCGUACCAUAAACCGACACAGGUAGUCGAGGAGAGAAUCCUAAGGUGCUCGAGUGAGUCGUGGCUAAGGAACUAGGCAAAAUAGUCUCGUAACUUCGGGAGAAGAGACGCCAACAGCGAUGUUGGCCGCAGUGAAGAGGCCCAGGCGACUGUUUAACAAAAACACAGGACUCUGCUAAAUCGAAAGAUGCUGUAUAGGGUCUGACACCUGCCCGGUGCUGGAAGGUUAAGGAAGGUGCUUAGCGUAAGCGAAGGCAUUGACUGAAGCCCCAGUAAACGGCGGCCGUAACUAUAACGGUCCUAAGGUAGCGAAAUUCCUUGUCGGGUAAGUUCCGACC